This is a long non-coding RNA of Carassius auratus (goldfish), 1548 nucleotides long. RefSeq lists it as uncharacterized. NCBI's taxonomy places the organism in Eukaryota, Metazoa, Chordata, Actinopteri, Cypriniformes, Cyprinidae. The record is from RefSeq and is a predicted model, not a curated record. The transcript is spliced from 3 exons.
AGUUUUAUGAUAGUAUGUUUGUCAUUGGUGAGAUUGUUGAAAGGUUUUUAAUAGUGAACUAAUUUUAAACAGUUUUACCCGACCAUAUGUUGAAGCAACGCGUUUUGGAACGAACCGCGGUGCAUGUUCAGUUAGCAACAAACAAAUUUGAUCCCAAAUCAACUGCGAUACACGUCACGUUAAACGCAUAGCAAAAAAAACAAAGAUUAUUAUUUUAUGUUCUAUAAUUGUUAGAAAUGUAAAUGUAUGCAAUACUAUAAAUCCAUAAAAUUCCAAACCUUGUGACCUAAAGACAUGCAUGUGCACAUUAUGCAGAAAGUUUUUCGCUCAGCCUUGUGCAAUAGAGAAUAAUCAUAAUAAUAAUGAUAUUUAUUGCCUUUUGCUAUAAAAGUGACAUUUUCUUGAACAUUUCUUAAUGAAGACAUUGAAGAGGUAAUUUAAAAAUAAAAACUAGCAUCCUGCAUCUCUGAUUGCCAGAUUUCUCAUAACACGCAUAAAUAUAAACAAAAAGACUCAAGUUAUAGCUCUUAAAAAAAACCUGUGUGUGUGUGAUAAUGUCAUAUAGUUAGUUCAAAAUUGCUUUGAUUUAUAGGGAUUUAAUUUAGUGACUUUACCAUUUGUUUUAAUGAUGUUUAUUUACAGUGCAAUCUAUUCUGCUUACCCGACUCAUGCAGACUUCUGUCCUGAUGUUUGGCUGUAGUCCUUCCAUCAUCCACUCUUCUGCAGCCAGUCUAUUUAUGGAGACCACCAUGAUCUAAUCUAUACAGAUCUAGUUGUCUCUUCUCCCACAAACUCCUCUUUCAGAUUUUGAGCGGAUCUCCUUCAUUCUGCAGCCAGCUCACCAGAACCUCUGGGUGCGCCAGCUGUGGAUAUUACAGGCCAAACUUUGGACACCCUAGGACAACAUCCUUAGCACAGAUCUACCUAUAGCCCUCCAUCAUUCCCACAUCCAUCUUGCAACAGUUUCAUUAACUGCAGUCCAUAACCAGUUCACGGUCUACACCUUGUCCAUUGCAAAUGUUAUGGAUUAUUCUAAUAGAGAUCUUUCUAUUAUUUUUUUGAGACUGUUAUUAUGUACUCUGUUAUGUUGUGAAUAAAGUCAACCCCCCCCCACCCCACCUUGAUGCUUUCAGCAGUUAAUACAUUAAAGUGUGUCUUUAAUGUUUUAUUAUUUAAAGAUUGUUUUAAAGUUUAUUACAGGCUCAGUUUAUUUUUUUUUUCACUAGAAAAUAAAGUGGAGUAUUAACUGUCAUAAUCAAGUAUGAGACUUUUGUCAGUAUCAUUAAUUCUAUGAGGCAAUAUGAAUCAAAUUAACAUUUGUAUAGGGUUUUCAUCCGAAGGCUUCUUCCUCAUUCAGUUAAACAUCAAGGGUUUUCUAUGCCUUUGUCACCUUUUACUUUCUCAUUGGAAAUUAUGAGCAUCAUUAUUUGGAAGAAAAUAAGAAUAUGAAAAUGGCUUUGAUUUCAAUGUAUUGAAUGGAAUCAAAGAACCACACAAACCUUUGACCUUCAUACAGACAUGGUAUAAAUUAAAGUGUUACUCAAAUUA